AUGCAGCAUUAAAGCCCGUGUGAAGCCAGUGCUUGUAAGCAGUGCCAAGCUGACAGUUACAGGGAAGAAAGGCUCUGAUUUAACGGGCCAGGCAGGAUGCUAUGCUGAUGUGGUCAUGCUGCUUUGGGACCUUAGCGAGCACCUCUGCAGGGCACAGCUCUGUGCCACAUAGACCUGCCAGCUUGCUGCUGUUUGAGAUCCCACUCUGUGCCAUACUGGACAUGUGAAUGAUCCUACAGCUCCUUGUGGACCCAAAUGGCAACCAUGGUGCAUGCAUCUACCUCAUAAAAAAGGAUACUUAUUAUCUGACUAUACCUGAACAUCACUGUAUCUUCUGAGAUUCCUUGAAGAACUUUGGUAUUCAUAGUAAUAACAUGCAUGAGAUGAGAUCAUCUGGCCUGUUAUGGCAGAAAUAUGUAAUUCCACAAGAAUUUUAUUGUAAUUUAGCAUGCACUUAUGUCUGCUUAUUUGAAAGUUUAUCUGGAUAAUGAAUUGUAUCCCUUAGGCAUUUUGUAAUAGUUCUUAUUUUAGUAAUAGUAUAUCUUCAGUGCAUUUCUAAUACCAAAGAGUCCAUGUCAAACAUAAUGAUCAAAACUGAGCAUAGUUUCUUCAGCGUAAUUUAGCACAAAUUUGAACUAUGUAUUUUAUAGCUAUGUAUUUGAAUUAUGCAAACUAGUGACUCAAAAUAAUUUUCAAAGUGCUAAUGGAAAGCACACCAGAUUUUCCCAAUUUGAAAAAUGCAAAUCUCUUAAGCCUUUGCUCAGCUCCCAGACUUAGUGUAUUUUGAUGCAUCUUCGUUCUUAAAGCUCUACAGUACCGCGUCCGUAGGAGCACCUCUCACAGUACCAGGAUCUUGCUGUCCUGAGUUUGGUUUAUAAAUAUGUAAUUUAUUUUUUGUAGUUCACAAGUAACCUACAGCUACCACAUCGCCUGUUUUUGUAACGUGUGAUCCCUGGUUGUCUGGUCUGUGUGUAGAAAGACGUUGUGCGUUUUCUCAUGGAAGACAAAUGAGCCACAAUGAAUCACAAGGUUGUCUUUAAUAUUCCCCUUCCACAGUGUAACGCUAACCAGUAUGCCCAGUUAGGGCUAAUAUGCCGCCUAGAUCUGCACAUGACAAAUGUGAUCCUGUGCCACUUCAUACACUGCAACCUAUUGUCUCCCCAUGUGUCUUCCCCAGAGCAGCCAGUCACGCAUUCCCUGGGUAUGUUGUCAUGGCCACAAGGAUUGUUUUCCUUUGGAGUCUAAUAAUAAGUCAAUUAGAGCAGGAUUAGCCUCUGGGAAAUGAAACCAGUUACUCCCUCUCUCCCAGGAUGAGGACCUUAAAUGAUCUGCCUGAACAUUUUCCUCUCCUUCCUUUGUUUUUCCUGCAAUCCAGCAAAUCACUUCUCCUCUAAUUAGCUUGCCAGUAGGCAUCUAUCAAAUGUUUCUCUUGUUAACUUACAGCACCAGCCAGAAGGGUGCUUUGUAGCGCCUUGUCGGGGUUCUGCCAAGUUUAGUGUCUGGCAGAGCUGGAA
Long non-coding RNA from Anas platyrhynchos (mallard), 1514 nucleotides. RefSeq lists it as uncharacterized. NCBI's taxonomy places the organism in Eukaryota, Metazoa, Chordata, Aves, Anseriformes, Anatidae. The record is from RefSeq and is a predicted model, not a curated record.